AUUGAACGCUGGCGGCAUGCCUUACACAUGCAAGUCGAACGGCAGCGGGCCCUUCGGGGUGCCGGCGAGUGGCGAACGGGUGAGUAAUGCAUCGGAACGUACCCGGGAGAGGGGGAUAACCGGCCGAAAGGCUGGCUAAUACCGCAUGAACUCGGAAGAGCAAAGCGGGGGACCUUCGGGCCUCGCGCUCUCGGAGCGGCCGAUGUCCGAUUAGGCUAGUUGGUGGGGUAAAGGCCCACCAAGGCGACGAUCGGUAGCGGGUCUGAGAGGACGAUCCGCCACACUGGGACUGAGACACGGCCCAGACUCCUACGGGAGGCAGCAGUGGGGAAUCUGGGACAAUGGGCGCAAGCCUGAGCCAGCAAUGCCGCGUGGGUGAAGAAGGCCUUCGGGUUGUAAAGCCCUUUCGGCGGGGAAGAAAUCGGUCAGGCGAAUAGUCUGGCCGGAUGACGGUACCCGCAGAAGAAGCACCGGCUAACUACGUG
RNAcentral lists this ribosomal RNA (485 nucleotides) under uncultured bacterium. RNAcentral describes it as "partial 16S ribosomal RNA". It matches the Rfam family "Bacterial small subunit ribosomal RNA", at positions 28 to 507 of the family's 1533-position model. The record is from RNAcentral.